GGGCCCGCACAAGCGGCGGAGCAUGCGGAUUAAUUCGAUGCAACGCGAAGAACCUUACCAAGGCUUGACAUAUAGAGGAAAAGUGCAGAAAUGCACUCCCCGCAAGGUCUCUAUACAGGUGGUGCAUGGUUGUCGUCAGCUCGUGUCGUGAGAUGUUGGGUUAAGUCCCGCAACGAGCGCAACCCUUAUCCUUAAUUGCCAGCGGUUAGGCCGGGAACUCUAAGAAGACUGCCAGCGCAAGCUGAGAGGAAGGUGGGGAUGACGUCAAAUCAUCACGGCCCUUACGCCUAGGGCUACACACGUGCUACAAUGCCCGGUACAAUGGGACGCAAUACCGCGAGGUGGAGCAAA
Molecule: ribosomal RNA, 351 nt
Filed under: uncultured bacterium
Lineage: Bacteria
Description: bacterial SSU rRNA
Rfam family: Bacterial small subunit ribosomal RNA
Source: RNAcentral